RNAcentral lists this ribosomal RNA (492 nucleotides) under uncultured bacterium. Its description in RNAcentral is "partial 16S ribosomal RNA". It matches the Rfam family "Bacterial small subunit ribosomal RNA", at positions 28 to 507 of the family's 1533-position model. The record is from RNAcentral.
GAUGAACGCUAGCUACAGGCUUAACACAUGCAAGUCGAGGGGAAACGGCAUUAAGUGCUUGCACUUUUUGGACGUCGACCGGUGCAUGGGAGAGUAACGCGUAUCCAACCUUCCCAUGACUAAGGGAUAACCUGCCGAAAGGCAGACUAAUACCUUAUGGUCUUCAUUGACGGCAUCAGAUGUGUAGUACAGAUUGAUAGGUUAUGGAGGGGGAUGCGUCUGAUUGGCUUGUUGGCGGGUUAACGGCCUACGAAGGGAACGAUCAGUAGGGGUUCGGAGAGGAAGGUCCCCCACAUUGGAACUGAGACACGGUCCAAACUCCUACGGGAGGCAGCAGUGAGGAAUAGUGGUCAAUGGGCGAGAGCCUGAACCAGCCAAGUAGCGUGCAGGAUGACGGCCCUAUGGGUUGUAAACUGCUUUUGUAUGGGGAUAAAGUCAAUCACGUGUGAUUGUUUGCAGGUACCAUACGAAUAAGGACCGGCUAAUUCCGUG